UUACAGGUCUUGACAUCCCGAUGCUAUUUCUAGAGAUAGAAAGUUACUUCGGUACAUCGGUGACAGGUGGUGCAUGGUUGUCGUCAGCUCGUGUCGUGAGAUGUUGGGUUAAGUCCCGCAACGAGCGCAACCCCUAUUGUUAGUUGCCAUCAUUCAGUUGGGCACUCUAGCGAGACUGCCGGUAAUAAACCGGAGAAGUGGGGAUGACGUCAAAUCAUCAUGCCCCUUAUGACCUGGGCUACACACGUGCUACAAUGGUUGGUACAACGAGUUGCGAGUCGGUGACGGCGAGCUAAUCUCUUAAAGCCAAUCUCAGUUCGGAUUGUAGGCUGCAACUCGCCUACAUGAAGUCGGAAUCGCUAGUAAUCGCGGAUCAGCACGCCGCGGUCGAAUACGUUCCCGGGCCUU
This 408-nucleotide ribosomal RNA is filed under the name uncultured Streptococcus sp. Its description in RNAcentral is "bacterial SSU rRNA". It matches the Rfam family "Bacterial small subunit ribosomal RNA", at positions 971 to 1382 of the family's 1533-position model. The record is from RNAcentral. Lineage: Bacteria; Bacillati; Bacillota; Bacilli; Lactobacillales; Streptococcaceae.